AAACAUGAGUUGAGGAUAGGGGAACAAAGAUAAACUAGGUUUCCUGGUGCACACUUGUAAUCCCAGCACACCAAGUACAGAAAUAAGAGGGUCAUAAAUUGGUGGUAAGACCAAAAAUAAAUACUUUUUUUUAAAUGGAGACAAUUAUUUGUUAGGAAGUUAGACUUCAGCUAGUCAACCUCACUUAAAGGCAGGCAAGCCAAGCACUAGUGGCUCUCACCUACGUUCCCAGUUUCUCAG
Long non-coding RNA from Perognathus longimembris pacificus (Pacific pocket mouse), 240 nucleotides. RefSeq lists it as uncharacterized. The transcript has 3 exons. The record is from RefSeq and is a predicted model, not a curated record. NCBI's taxonomy places the organism in Eukaryota, Metazoa, Chordata, Mammalia, Rodentia, Heteromyidae.